Molecule: long non-coding RNA, 995 nt
Filed under: Olea europaea subsp. europaea
Lineage: Eukaryota; Viridiplantae; Streptophyta; Magnoliopsida; Lamiales; Oleaceae
Source: RNAcentral
AGAUGUAGAAUGAUCCUAUUGACGCUGCAGCUGGCCUUCUUCUAGAUCUUCAACAGAAUCCUCCACUGCCUCGUCUAUAAGGGUGGUAGCUCUAUUGGGAUAAAAUUAUCCCUUAGUGUAGCCAAAUCCACCUGGAGGUUGAGCUCAGCCAUCAUUUUCAAGACUUCAUCAUAUGCGACCUUCCUUUAGUAUAACCAAGGCAAUCAUACUUGGCCGUUUCAUGUAAAUACUCCAAAUACUUUGUAGUAAACCUCUCCGGCCUUUUCUAAUUGUUGCUUCAAACUAGCAAUCUCAGCAAUCAGGUCACCAACUUGGGACUUUAGCUCUAAUUUCUCUUUAUUUGCUGCUUCUAAUGUUGACAAAGCUAUCUUCUAUAAGUUAUCAGAAUUUUCAAUUCGCCUCAUCAUAGCAUUUACUUCAGCUUUGCAGAAGUGGACGUUCUUCUUCAAAUCUGCAUUUCAAUUGUAAGGAGUCCCAACCUCAAGUUUACUUCAACAUGCCUCACCUUGAAGACUUUAAUAACUUUGUCAGCAAUAGAGGUCUCAACCUUGAGCCUCUUCACCUCUGCCUUACAUCAACUAUUUUUUAAAAGAAUUAUUUAUUCAGCAUCUACAGUCUCCUAAUGUCCUUCGGCCAUUUAGAAAAAAACAUUGUGGGAAAGCCUGCAAGGCAUUCCUGCCUCUAGCAUAUCAACCGAAUCACAAGUCUUGGUAUACAAGGAACACUUAUCAAUCUAAUACUUGUAAUUGAACGAAUGCUAUAUAUGCUUUAGAAGGAUUUAAGGAUCAUGUUUCCAACGACUUAGUUCACAAGGAAGAAUCUGAAAUUUCGUUGUAAUGAUAGGUGCAAAUGCUAUAUAUGCUUUAGAAGGAUUUAAGAAUCAUGUUUCCAAUGACUUAGUUCACAAGGAAGAAUUUGAAGUUUCGUUGUAAUGAUAGGUGCGAUAGAGUUUCUUCGAACUAAAAUAUUGGUUUCUUACCAACUAUAGACUAUUU